GCAUAUCAAUAAGCGGAGGAAAAGAAACCAACAGGGAUUGCCCUAGUAACGGCGAGUGAAGCGGCAACAGCUCAAAUUUGAAAUCUGGCUUUCGGGCCCGAGUUGUAAUUUGUAGAGGAUGAUUUUGAUGCGGUGCCUUCCGAGUUCCCUGGAACGGGACGCCAUAGAGGGUGAGAGCCCCGUCUGGUUGGAUGCCAAAUCUCUGUAAAUCUCCUUCGACGAGUCGAGUAGUUUGGGAAUGCUGCUCUAAAUGGGAGGUAUAUGUCUUCUAAAGCUAAAUACCGGCCAGAGACCGAUAGCGCACAAGUAGAGUGAUCGAAAGAUGAAAAGCACUUUGAAAAGAGAGUUAAAAAGUACGUGAAAUUGUUGAAAGGGAAGCGUUUAUGACCAGACUUGGGCUUGGUUAAUCAUCUGGGGUUCUCUCCAGUGCACUUUUCCAGUCCAGGCCAGCAUCAGUUUUCGCCGGGGGAUAAAGGCUUCGGGAAUGUGGCUCCCCUCGGGGAGUGUUAUAGCCCGUUGUGUAAUACCCUGGUGGGGACUGAGGUUCGCGCUUCUGCAAGGAUGCUGGCGUAAUGGUCAUCAACGACCCGUCUUGAAACACGGACCAAGGAGUCGUCUUCGUAUGCGAGUGUUCGGGUGUCAAACCCCUACGCGUAAUGAAAGUGAACGCAGGUGAGAGCUUCGGCGCAUCAUCGACCGAUCCUGAUGUUCUCGGAUGGAUUUGAGUAAGAGCAUACGGGGCCGGACCCGAAAGAAGGUGAACUAUGCCUGUGUAGGGUGAAGCCAGAGGAAACUCUGGUGGAGGCUCGCAGCGGUUCUGACGUGCAAAUCGAUCGUCAAACAUGGGCAUGGGGGCGAAAGACUAAUCGAACCUUCUAGUAGCUGGUUUCCGCCGAA
RNAcentral lists this ribosomal RNA (897 nucleotides) under Fusarium graminearum. Its description in RNAcentral is "LSU rRNA". It matches the Rfam family "Eukaryotic large subunit ribosomal RNA", at positions 38 to 965 of the family's 3401-position model. The record is from RNAcentral. Lineage: Eukaryota; Fungi; Ascomycota; Sordariomycetes; Hypocreales; Nectriaceae.